UACGUAGGGUGCAAGCGUUAAUCGGAAUUACUGGGCGUAAAGCGUGCGCAGGCGGUUAUGCAAGACAGAUGUGAAAUCCCCGGGCUUAACCUGGGAACUGCAUUGGUGACUGGCGGGCUAGAGUAUGGCAGAGGGGGGUAGAAUUCCACGUGUAGCAGUGAAAUGCGUAGAGAUGUGGAGGAAUACCGAUGGCGAAGGCAGCCCCCUGGGCCAAUACUGACGCUCAUGCACGAAAGCGUGGGGAGCAAACAGG
This 253-nucleotide ribosomal RNA is filed under the name uncultured bacterium. RNAcentral's name for it is "partial 16S ribosomal RNA". It matches the Rfam family "Bacterial small subunit ribosomal RNA", at positions 524 to 776 of the family's 1533-position model. The record is from RNAcentral.